GAGUUUGGUCAUGGCUCAGAUUGAACGCUGGCGGCAGGCCUAACACAUGCAAGUCGAACGGUAACAGGAAGCAGCUUGCUGCUUCGCUGACGAGUGGCGGACGGGUGAGUAAUGUCUGGGAAGCUGCCUGAUGGAGGGGGAUAACUACUGGAAACGGUAGCUAAUACCGCAUAAUGUCGCAAGACCAAAGAGGGGGACCUUCGGGCCUCUUGCCAUCGGAUGUGCCCAGAUGGGAUUAGCUUGUUGGUGGGGUAACGGCUCACCAAGGCGACGAUCCCUAGCUGGUCUGAGAGGAUGACCAGCCACACUGGAACUGAGACACGGUCCAGACUCCUACGGGAGGCAGCAGUGGGGAAUAUUGCACAAUGGGCGCAAGCCUGAUGCAGCCAUGCCGCGUGUAUGAAGAAGGCCUUCGGGUUGUAAAGUACUUUCAGCGGGGAGGAAGGGAGUAAAGUUAAUACCUUUGCUCAUUGACGUUACCCGCAGAAGAAGCACCGGCUAACUCCGUGCCAGCAGCCGCGGUAAUACGGAGGGUGCAAGCGUUAAUCGGAAUUACUGGGCGUAAAGCGCACGCAGGCGGUUUGUUAAGUCAGAUGUGAAAUCCCCGGGCUCAACCUGGGAACUGCAUCUGAUACUGGCAAGCUUGAGUCUCGUAGAGGGGGGUAGAAUUCCAGGUGUAGCGGUGAAAUGCGUAGAGAUCUGGAGGAAUACCGGUGGCGAAGGCGGCCCCCUGGACGAAGACUGACGCUCAGGUGCGAAAGCGUGGGGAGCAAACAGGAUUAGAUACCCUGGUAGUCCACGCCGUAAACGAUGUCGACUUGGAGGUUGUGCCCUUGAGGCGUGGCUUCCGGAGCUAACGCGUUAAGUCGACCGCCUGGGGAGUACGGCCGCAAGGUUAAAACUCAAAUGAAUUGACGGGGGCCCGCACAAGCGGUGGAGCAUGUGGUUUAAUUCGAUGCAACGCGAAGAACCUUACCUGGUCUUGACAUCCACGGAAGUUUUCAGAGAUGAGAAUGUGCCUUCGGGAACCGUGAGACAGGUGCUGCAUGGCUGUCGUCAGCUCGUGUUGUGAAAUGUUGGGUUAAGUCCCGCAACGAGCGCAACCCUUAUCCUUUGUUGCCAGCGGUCCGGCCGGGAACUCAAAGGAGACUGCCAGCGAUAAACUGGAGGAAGGUGGGGAUGACGUCAAGUCAUCAUGGCCCUUACGACCAGGGCUACACACGUGCUACAAUGGCGCAUACAAAGAGAAGCGACCUCGCGAGAGCAAGCGGACCUCAUAAAGUGCGUCGUAGUCCGGAUUGGAGUCUGCAACUCGACUCCAUGAAGUCGGAAUCGCUAGUAAUCGUGGAUCAGAAUGCCACGGUGAAUACGUUCCCGGGCCUUGUACACACCGCCCGUCACACCAUGGGAGUGGGUUGCAAAAGAAGUAGGUAGCUUAACCUUCGGGAGGGCGCUUACCACUUUGUGAUUCAUGACUGGGGUGAAGUCGUAACAAGGUA
Molecule: ribosomal RNA, 1499 nt
Filed under: metagenome
Description: bacterial SSU rRNA
Rfam family: Bacterial small subunit ribosomal RNA
Source: RNAcentral